CCUACGGGUGGCAGCAGUGGGGAAUAUUGCACAAUGGGCGAAAGCCUGAUGCAGCAACGCCGCGUGAGCGAUGAAGGCCUUCGGGUCGUAAAGCUCUUUCCUCAAGGACGAUAAUGACGGUACUUGAGGAGGAAGCCCCGGCUAACUACGUGCCAGCAUCCGCGGUAAUCCGUAGGGCGCUAGCGUUAUCCGGAAUUACUGGGCGUAAAGGGUGCGUCGGUGGGUUCUUAAGUCAGAGGUGAAAGGGUACGGCUCAACCGUAGUAAGCCUUUGAAACUGGGAAACGUGAGUGCAGGAGAGGAGAGUGGAAUGCGUAGUGUAGCGGUGAAAUGCGUAGAUAUUAGGAGGAACACCAGUUGCGAAGGCGGCUCUCUGGACUGUAACUGACACUGAGGCACGAAAGCGUGGGGAGCAAACAGGAUUAGAUACCCUUGUAGUC
Molecule: ribosomal RNA, 439 nt
Filed under: uncultured bacterium
Lineage: Bacteria
Description: partial 16S ribosomal RNA
Rfam family: Bacterial small subunit ribosomal RNA
Source: RNAcentral